RNAcentral lists this ribosomal RNA (461 nucleotides) under uncultured Micromonas. RNAcentral describes it as "partial Bacterial small subunit ribosomal RNA". It matches the Rfam family "Bacterial small subunit ribosomal RNA", at positions 311 to 768 of the family's 1533-position model. Lineage: Eukaryota; Viridiplantae; Chlorophyta; Mamiellophyceae; Mamiellales. The record is from RNAcentral.
CACUGGGACUGAGACACGGCCCAGGCUCCCAUGGGAGACAGCAGUGAGGAAUCUUGGACAAUGCACGAAAGUGUGAUCCAGCUAUAUCGCGUGGACGAAGAAGGGUAUUUUGCUUGUAAAGUCCUUUCAGCAAUAAACAUGUUUUUACAUGGAGCCAUAAUGACAGCUCUUGCAGAAGAAGCCCCGGCUAAUUUCUGUGCCAGCAGCCGCGGUAAUACAGAGGGGGCAAGUGUUAUUCGGAAUAAUUGGGCGUAAAUGGCGUGUAGGUUGUGCUUCGCUGUUAUCGGUUAAAUUCCCAUCGAUAUGGUGGGUAAGGCUGAUAGAACGGUUGUACUAGAGAGUGAGAGAGGAUACGGGAAUUUCGAGUGGAGAAGUUAAAUUCUUAGAUAUUCGAAGGAAGGCCAACUGCGAAGGCACAUAUCUGGCUCAUUUCUGACACUGAGGCGCGAAGGCGUGGGGAG